Molecule: non-coding RNA, 1844 nt
Organism: Ciona intestinalis (vase tunicate)
Lineage: Eukaryota; Metazoa; Chordata; Ascidiacea; Phlebobranchia; Cionidae
Source: RefSeq, a predicted model, not a curated record
UGGCAAUAGUCAGCAUAUAAGAAGCUUCGCAAACCUUAUAUAAAGAUAAAUCAAUAUUCAAAUCCACACGCAUUGCCUUUGUGGGAUCUUGCUUAAAUAAUUCAAAAGCGCAAAUUCGUCUUCACUGCACUCGGCUUUACCGCGAAAAUAGACCUGUUGAUGGGAUCUUUGUUGACGUGUUUUGCAAUUAAAAUCUCAUAAACAGCACUGAACUCUACUAAAAAAUAUUGGCCCAAUUUAUUGUAAAAAAAAGAAAUAUUUAACGACUAUUGCGUUGAUAUUGACCUUUUUGCUGCUUCAAAUAUGAUCGUCGUUACUCUGGUUAACAAAUAGGUUGUGUGCAUUUUAACAAAUAUGUGAACUUCGGCAAAAAGGAACAAAAUUUUCCCUAAAAUGACAAACGGGUUGACGGUUACUUGGGUUUAUUCGGAUGACCCAAGAAACCUGAUGUAGCUAUCAACACGACUAUGUUGGCUUUAUUUAAAAUGCAACUGAAUCGUUGCAACUGUUUAUACUGACAGUAAUAGCAUUAAUCUAUAUGCACCGAAUAUUACAACAGCUAAAUCUUAUAUUUAAGGAGUAAGCAAUCUUUUGCUGACUGCAAACGAAAUUCUCUGCUGACUGCAAGCAAAAUCGACAGGUAAACAACAAAUAACACAUCCGUUUGUACCUCGUUGUAUGUCAUUUCUAAAUCCUUGCACAAGGUUUUGCAGCUAAAAGGUGCAACAUACAAUCCUGACAGCGGGCAUAUGGUAGUAUACUGCGUACGGUCGUGAGGGUAACAAAGAUGCAAAGAAAGCCUAGUAUAAGCCAAUGAGAAAUGGUCGAUUAAAACAUUGAAGAAAGAGAACGUAAACGCAAAUUAAAACAACGAAGCCCCGCUUACGAUUUACCAAGUUGGUAACUUUGUGCUGGAUUUCAAGAAUUGAAUUCAAUACAAAAGUUCUUGAGUAUAGAGGGAAGAUAUGAUUCAAAUUUCUAUGCAACGGUUGUAAACUAAAGUAACUGUACUGGUGCUAUGAAAAUUUAGACUUGAAAAUGAAAAUUUAGAUAAGUUUCAAUGUAACUUAUUUUAUUCACGCGUGUCGGACAACGAGACUGAUUACAACACGGCUGUAUUUGAUACACGCGGCAGUUAGAAAAACUACAUUUUACCGCAAGGUAGCGUACUGUCUUCACCUCCUAUCGGUAGCGUAAAUUUGUCGCGCAAAAUAUUUCAUAAAAAAAUCUGGCGUCUUCAAUUCUUGUACAAAUACAAACUACCACAGUAUGUCUUCCAUGCGUGACCUAUACAAAACCCGUAAAAUUAAAAUUAGAUUUUAUUAAACUCUGGUUUGUUGUUGUUUGUGUUAAAUUAAUUCGUGCCCAUUAUUAACCACUCAACCACGAAGCGCGGCACCACGAUUUUGAUUGUUACUUAAUUCAAUACCCUACGAGCCUUUUAUGCUUGCUUUUUUUCUCGUAUUCUCUCGUUUUUUAAAAUUUAUUCAAUGUAUACUCAUUGCUCUCAAUUUUGAAUUAGAAAAAAGCAAGGUUCUGUGUGAUAUCAUAAAGUCUUACUUAAUGCGUGUUGUAUGUUUACAACAACAGUGUUCUCACAUGUGAAGUGAGUAGCGUCAACUCUAUUUUGUACAUUUGGGUUAAUUACGUAUAGAUCUAUUCUAUAAACCAGAAAGUAACUUAGAAACUGUAAAACGGUAUAAACUGUGAUAGCAUUACCGUGUUGUGCUGUUUACUGACCCGCAUACCUCCGAAGCCGUAAGUGCAAUAAAAAAUGAAGCCAACGUACUAAAACAAAUUAGACAACACACUGUGCUAAUGAUACAAGCGGAAUAUAUUAGGCA